This 1166-nucleotide long non-coding RNA is filed under the name Homo sapiens (human). Its description in RNAcentral is "HSALNT0334708". The record is from RNAcentral. Lineage: Eukaryota; Metazoa; Chordata; Mammalia; Primates; Hominidae.
AGAAUGCCAAAGAGCAGCAGGAUGGAUCCAGCAUCCUCUCCUGAUAAAAGAGGGCUAGAAGACGGGAGGCUCCGGGAAGUCUACUGGAGUCAUGAAGACACUGAAAAGUGAUGAAUCCACAUAACCAUGACACUGGAAAUGAAGUUUGAGUGGCAGUCAGAAUCUGGGAGGAAGCAUUGCUAAGUGAAAAUCUUAUGGAGCUUGACUAAAAAUCCCUGUCAGGAACCGUCAAAAGCUGUGUCCCUGACAUGAAAAAUCUUGCUGGAAGUUGAGAGAGGUUUAUGCCUACUCCGUGAUCCGGGAACACAAGACCUUUACCAACCAAAAAAGUGGAUAGCUGUUCUUCUGCUGUGAAGGUUAAUAAAGGCUAAAAGUUCAAGAAUAAGGCACCAGCAAGUUCAGUGUCUAGAAAGGACCCAGCGUUUGCUUCGAAGAUGGCGCCUUUCUGCUGCAUUCUCUGAAGAGGAUGGAUGCUGUGUCCUCACAUUGCAGAAGUCAGAAGGGGAAAAAGGGCCUAAGCUAGUUCCCUGUAGCCUUUUUGCAAGAACGCCAGAAGUGCCAAGCAAUUAACAACCCCAGAAGCAACCCUUAACCAAUGAUUAAAUAAAGUGGAUGAUUACAUACCCAAGCUCCUUCAACUCCCAGGGACAUAAUUCUGAGGGAUGGAAAACAAACUGAAACUGGCUCAAGUGAAUGCUCACUGGAAGGCUUACUGGAAAACUUACUGGAAGGAUGUGAGGACAUGUUCGGGAAUCUAUUUGCAGAAAACAUAUUCAGCCCUGUCCACCACAGCCAGCUGGCUGAAGAGCUCAAAAGGCAAGAAAUCAGCAAGAGAGAGAGAUGAAGCAUGAGAAAUGAGCAAAAAACACCCAGCACAUCAUAAUCUUGGACAGUUUAGCAGUACAUGAAAAUAGAUGGUCCUCGCCCCAAGGGACUGCAGUAACCCUGAAUAAACAGGAUGUCUCUCACUUUUAGCAGUUCUUUCUGUGCUAGUAUUGGGGAAAUAUAUUUUUGGCUGCAUGCAAAAUGGUAAAAGACAUCUAUUAAGAAAAUGAAAACAAUGCUUCUGUUUUAGACGAAGCUUUUGAAGGUUUAAGGAUCACCUAUUUAUUGACAAAAUUGUUUCCGUGGCUUAAAAAUAAAAUACAAACAAAUACUACAGGUAU